GACGAACGCUGGCGGCGUGCUUAACACAUGCAAGUCGAACGCUGAAGCUUGGUGCUUGCACUGGGUGGAUGAGUGGCGAACGGGUGAGUAAUACGUGAGUAACCUGCCCUUGACUCUGGGAUAAGCCUGGGAAACUGGGUCUAAUACUGGAUACGACAUGUCACCGCAUGGUGGUGUGUGGAAUGGGUUUUACUGGUUUUGGAUGGGCUCACGGCCUAUCAGCUUGUUGGUGGGGUAAUGGCUCACCAAGGCGACGACGGGUAGCCGGCCUGAGAGGGUGACCAGCCACACUGGGACUGAGAGACGGACCAGACUCCUACGGGAGGCAGCAGUGGGGAAUAUUGCACAAUGGGCGGAAGCCUGAUGCAGCGACGCCGCGUGAGGGAUGACGGCCUUCGGGUUGUAAACCGCUUUCAGCACGGAAGAAGCGAAAGUGACGGUACGUGCAGAAGAAGCGCCGGCUAACUACGUG
RNAcentral lists this ribosomal RNA (472 nucleotides) under uncultured bacterium. Its description in RNAcentral is "partial 16S ribosomal RNA". It matches the Rfam family "Bacterial small subunit ribosomal RNA", at positions 28 to 507 of the family's 1533-position model. The record is from RNAcentral.